GUUGGUUGUAAAGUUUCCGAGAGCGGCGUGGGCUGGUGCGAGUGAAGCGCGGGGCGGGGGAGGCGAGGACAGAAGCUCUCCUCGCGGCGUCUUUGUUCUGCUCUGGAGGAGAGACCUUGGCAAGGAGUCGCCGGGCGGGUGCAGGGACCUACCGCCACCACAUUCCGGACCCAGCGGGAGCCCUCCUCUUAAUGCCCCUCCCCCCGCAAGCCAACCCAGGACAUAGCCCCCAGGUCCCCAAGGCCAGGAAAAAGUGUCCGAACGCCUCGUGGACUGCAGCGGGGGAAAUGUCCCUUAAAAGUGCGACGAAGUGGGGAAGAAGGUGUAAUUACUAUUAUCAGCAUCUAGAAAGCAUCAUGAAUUUGCUGGAGUACUUCCUAGCACUGACCUCCUUCAUUCUGCGUUGUUCUUACUGGAUCUUUCCAUCAGCCAACAAUAUGGAAGUACCAAUACAAGGUCAAAUCAUUCCUGGAUUCAUCUGGAGUUACUUAAAAGUUAAAUCAUUGGAAUUUUUGAUGAUACCUUUUCUAUAUGGAUUACAAUUUGAUCGCUGGGAAUUCUCCACCUUAAAGAAGACUCUUUUGCUAUCUGGAAACCCAUGUCCACCUCUGACUUCCACUCAAAAUUGCUUUCCUCACAGUCUGACUGCGAGAGUUGUGAAAAAUUGGGAUGUGCUUCUGAGGUGGGCUGUGGAAUGCCAUUAGAGACGGGGUUUCACCGUGUUAGCCAGGAUGGUCUCAAUCUCCUGACCUCGUGAUCCGCCCACCUCGGCCUCCCAAAGUGCUGGGAUUACAGGUGUGAGCCACCGUGCCUGGUCCUAUAUUUUAAUUCCUGUCGAGUACCCUCAGGUGACUACAGAUGUGUUAACACCCAGCAUGUUCCGGUAGGAGACUUCCUGGAUGGGGAAGAUUUCCAGGUGUGAAUCAUGGCAAUACAGUGAAAGAUAGUGAUUUACUGCUUUUGAGGGCGUGCAUGUAUAUGAUUAACGGAUGGAAGUGCAGGACUCCAAGAUUUACUUCCUUCCCUUUCCAGCAGAAUUACCUGAGAUGAGUGAGUAAUGGGAUAAUUUGUAAUGCCACAGGCCCCUUUUCAAGGGACCAGUAAUCAAAACAGGAAGAUGAAACUGAGAAGAUUUCAACUGGAAGAAUACAACUUUUGAUAAUUUCUGGAUAUACCUCUUAAUUGCAAGCAGGAGAGUCUUCAGAGUUUUCCUGUUUUUUUUGUUUUUGUUUUUUGUUGUUGUUGUUGUUGUUUGAGACGGAGUUUUGCUCUUAUUGCCUGGGCUGGA
Molecule: long non-coding RNA, 1288 nt
Filed under: Pan troglodytes (chimpanzee)
Lineage: Eukaryota; Metazoa; Chordata; Mammalia; Primates; Hominidae
Description: lincRNA
Source: RNAcentral